RNAcentral lists this long non-coding RNA (366 nucleotides) under Ananas comosus (pineapple). RNAcentral's name for it is "long non-coding RNA (ACOM_LNC035038)". The record is from RNAcentral. Lineage: Eukaryota; Viridiplantae; Streptophyta; Magnoliopsida; Poales; Bromeliaceae.
UUUUUCUUCUUUACAUUCAUAUUUAUUUAUUUAAUUUGUAAAUUUUUAUUAAAAUAUUUUUUUUCGCUGCAUCGCGCGGGUCACUACACUAGUAUAUAUAGAAUUAGGCUGGAAUACUAUUGAUAGCAAAACGCACUUUUUGCCAUCAAAUUUUUAACACUUAAAUGGGAAAUUAUAGGAUUAGGAUGAUAUUAGUCAGUUAGAGUUGAGUGGUCCCCCUAGGGUUGAGUGGUCCCCACUGGGUUAUAGUAUUUAAUCCAAUGAUUAAAAAUGAUGAAAAGAGUUGAUCCAAAGGCUAAAAACUUGAUAGCAAAAAGGACGUUUUGCUAUCAAUAGUAUUCUAGCCCAACUCUAUAUAUAUAUAUA